Molecule: long non-coding RNA, 251 nt
Filed under: Manihot esculenta (cassava)
Lineage: Eukaryota; Viridiplantae; Streptophyta; Magnoliopsida; Malpighiales; Euphorbiaceae
Description: long non-coding RNA (MESC_LNC003667)
Source: RNAcentral
GGGUAACCGAACUGUCUGCAGAGAUAUCAGUCGGAUUCGUCAUAAAGACAAAACAGAAGGGAAACAGAAAAUAUAGGAUCGGCAAAAAAAAAACUUGCUGUUGAGCAGAAGGCUCUGAUACCAUAAGAAUGCAGAAGAAGAUGUAUUCUAUUGAUGUAUAUCUGUGGUUAAAUACACAAAUGCAAAGUCAUCUAAUCCUAAGAAAAAGGAAUUUGAAAUACAGAUGGUUACAACAGUUUACUAUUUAAACU